RNAcentral lists this ribosomal RNA (377 nucleotides) under Pachypanchax varatraza. RNAcentral's name for it is "partial large subunit ribosomal RNA". It matches the Rfam family "Bacterial large subunit ribosomal RNA", at positions 1916 to 2429 of the family's 2925-position model. The record is from RNAcentral. Lineage: Eukaryota; Metazoa; Chordata; Actinopteri; Cyprinodontiformes; Aplocheilidae.
CUUAUAGUUUAACGGCCGCGGUAUUUUGACCGUGCAAAGGUAGCGCAAUCACUUGUCUUUUAAAUGAAGACCUGUAUGAAUGGCAUCACGAGGGCUUAACUGUCUCCUUCCCCCAGUCAAUGAAAUUGAUCUCCCCGUGCAGAAGCGGGGAUAGACCCAUAAGACGAGAAGACCCUAUGGAGCUUCAGAUACAAGUUCAGCCCAUGUCUAAUGACCUUAAUUAAAAGAAUAAACCAAUUGAAUCCUGUCCUAGUAUCUUUGGUUGGGGCGACCAUGGAGUAUAACAAAACCCCCAUGAGGUAUGAACAUAAAAUGUUUUCAACUAAGAGUGACAACUCUAAGCAACAGAACCUCUGACCUUAUAGAUCCGGCAUUGC